CAAAGGUGCCGACAUGAAGUGGACCUACAGGUUAUACUGUGGUCAAAGCAUCAGAUUUUGUAUUAAUUUUAAUUCUAGCUGCAUGGAUCACAAAUGAUUGGAAAAUUGAGAAAGUAUUGCUGGAAAUAAUUCAGACAUAAUUCAGACAUAAUUCAAGGCUCUCAUACAGAAAAAAAUAUAACAAAAUCAUUAAUUCGUGUUUUGGAAGAUUUUGAAAUUGCUGGCCAAAUUCUUGCUAUAUAUAAUUUCAGUCUUAUAGCAAUUGUGAUUUUAUGUUUCGUGAACUUAGCUUACUUAGCUCUCAGCGAUAAGUAGUCUGGAAUAAACUUUAUAGAGGCUAAUCAAAGAAUACGGUGUCUUGCUCACAUAACUAAUUUAGCUUGCCAAGAUGCUUUAUCAAUACUUAAAUUGACAGGUACGGUUAAAGGUAAUGACUAUGAUCAUGACUUUGAAACAUUUCAAACUAAUGAUGAUUUUGACGAUCUGGGCAAGACUACUCUCCAAUUAUGAAUGAUUCUACUUAUGAAAGGGCUUACGAAAGCAUUGUAAAACCUGAGAGGUCUCUUUGAAAGUAUGAUCUUGAUGAUUCAGAAUAGUCUCAAGUAGAAAAUAUAAUAGCAUUUCUUAAGUUUUUUGAUGAGACUCGUUUGUCGAAAGUGAAAAGUCCAUCAAUGUCUUUAUCAGCUGCGAUAUACAUAAAUUUGUAUAAUUAUUUGGAAUCGUAUAACGAAAAAGGAGGACGGAUAAUGGAAGCGGCAAAGUUAUAGCAUGUAAAAAACUUAAUAAAUACUAUCCUACGACCGAUGGCUUUGUAUACGUUUGGAGAUUAGUUUUAGAUCCGCGCUGUAAGUUGAACUGAUAUAGACAAGUUGGUUUUAAAGCCGACGUUAUUAAAGCCAAUAAAGACGUCAUAAUGCAGGAUUAGUAUUUAAUAUAUUCAGCAGCUACCGCGGUUAAUGAUUUAAGUAAUGGAGAAAAUUCAAGUGAAGAUUUGAUUGCAUCACAAAUAAAGAAAGCUAAAUAUGAAAAUAAGAACGACCUAUAUCUUGUCUUACUAUAUCUAUUGGUUUUAAGAAUUUUGUAGCACCGUUUGUAUUAUAACACUCUAUUAUGUAGUUUACAGUAACAUUGUUACAAACAUUGAAUGGAUUGUUUCACAUAACGUCGGCGGUACUUAAUUAAAAUCUUGCAAAAAAUAGGGUAUACUUUGGAAUCUGAUAACUCAGUUCCUAGACAACCUAGAACAAUUUUCUUUAUGAAUUUUCUUUCUAUUUUAAAGGGAAUGUUCUCAUUCAAAACUAAUGCAGUGACGUUUUUCGCCUCGUUGUUGCUUUGCCCAUGGAAGGCUGCAAUAUCAUAACAUUUUUAACUCCACACUCUCUACUUUUUUACGAAAAAAACAGUUUAAUGGGAUGGAAAAUUUCAUUUAGGUCAUUUUAAAGUAGAGGCCAUACCCCUGAAAACGCGCUAAGAAACAAUGUCCUGCGAUUUCUGGAAGCCGAGAUAUUGGUUUCUUAAAAUUAACAAAAUUUGCAGAUUUUAAAGUGCUCCCCUAAUUUUUUUUCGUAUUGCAUAUCUGAAAUGAUCUUGAAGAGAAGUUU
Wasmannia auropunctata (little fire ant) is the source of this 1601-nucleotide long non-coding RNA. RefSeq lists it as uncharacterized. The transcript is spliced from 5 exons. NCBI's taxonomy places the organism in Eukaryota, Metazoa, Arthropoda, Insecta, Hymenoptera, Formicidae. The record is from RefSeq and is a predicted model, not a curated record.